Molecule: ribosomal RNA, 495 nt
Filed under: uncultured bacterium
Lineage: Bacteria
Description: partial 16S ribosomal RNA
Rfam family: Bacterial small subunit ribosomal RNA
Source: RNAcentral
GACGAACGCUGGCGGCGUGCCUAAUACAUGCAAGUAGAACGCUGAAGGAGGAGCUUGCUUCUCUGGAUGAGUUGCGAACGGGUGAGUAACGCGUAGGUAACCUGCCUGGUAGCGGGGGAUAACUAUUGGAAACGAUAGCUAAUACCGCAUAAUAGCAGUUGUUGCAUGACAACUGUUUGAAAGGUGCAAAUGCAUCACUACCAGAUGGACCUGCGUUGUAUUAGCUAGUUGGUGGGGUAAAGGCUCACCAAGGCGACGAUACAUAGCCGACCUGAGAGGGUGAUCGGCCACACUGGGACUGAGACACGGCCCAGACUCCUACGGGAGGCAGCAGUAGGGAAUCUUCGGCAAUAGACGGAAGUCUGACCGAGCAACGCCGCGUGAGUGAAGAAGGUUUUCGGAUCGUAAAGCUCUGUUGUAAGAGAAGAACGAGUGUGAGAGUGGAAAGUUCACACUGUGACGGUAUCUUACCAGAAAGGGACGGCUAACUACGUG